GCUAAACGCGAAGAACCUUACCUGGUCUUGACAUGUCUGGAAUCCCGAAGAGAUUUGGGAGUGCCGCAAGGAACCAGAACACAGGUGCUGCAUGGCUGUCGUUAGCUCGUGUCGUGAGAUGUUGGGUUAAGUCCCGCAACGAGCGCAACCCUUGUCCUUAGUUGCCAUCAUUUAGUUGGGAACUCUAAGGAGACCGCCGGUGACAAACCGGAGGAAGGUGGGGAUGACGUCAAGUCAUCAUGGCCUUUAUGACCAGGGCUACACACGUGCUACAAUGGCAGGUACAGAGGGAAGCCAACCAGCAAUGGGGAGCCAAUCCCAGAAAGCCUGUCUUAGUCCGGAUUGGAGUCUGCAACUCGACUCCAUGAAGCUGGAAUCGCUAGUAAUCGCAGAUCAGCAUUGCUGCGGUGAAUACGUUCCCGGGUCUUGUACACACCG
Molecule: ribosomal RNA, 438 nt
Filed under: uncultured bacterium
Lineage: Bacteria
Description: bacterial SSU rRNA
Rfam family: Bacterial small subunit ribosomal RNA
Source: RNAcentral